UCAGAGCGCGAGUAUGCUGGUGGAGCGCCCGCGGUAGCGUAUGAGCGCGGCUGCCUAGCGCGUAGCCUACGCUUACCGUGGGCGGUCCACCAGCAUACUCGCGCUCUGAUUGGUCAGUGUUUUCCGUUAAUAUCUCCUCAACGAAGCCUCGGAUAACAUUUUUCCUAAGGGAAAAGUUGUUUCAAAUCACCUCUCGAACCACCCCUUUCAAGGUGUUACAACAUUUUCGAGACACCCUGUAUAGGCAAUCUGUAUUGUCAAUCAAAGAAGACAAAUGUUGAAUCGUAGAACACUGAUACAUCGUAACAUAUCGUAUAAGACGAUUUAAUGAAGGCAACUCUCCUCUAUUCCUCACAAGAAAUUCUUCGUAACUGCAAAAGUACCAUGUCUAAAAGAUUGUAUCGUAACAAUAAUGUAGUAGGAAUCAAGAAUUCGUUCCAAUAGAUUCGGGCUAUGGGCUAGAAUCACAUCCUGUUCGGGUGUACUACGAAUUCCGGCUCAACUUGUAUAUAUUUCUUCUACAACACUGAGGGACUUCUAGAAACGAAGGGGAGCCACCAGGCUUGGAAGUUGUCCUGAGAAGGUUAUAGACGGAGAUAAGAUUGUGAAAUGUCGAUCAAAAGAUAUAAGAUUACAAAAAUUAUGGCUGACCGCUUGCAAUGUAGAGCUCACCAUAUUAGUGAAAUAAUUGAAGCAUAAGAUGAUGCGUGUGCACAACAUAAAUUAAUGGUAUUUAUAUUAAUUUAUUAAUUGAAUGAAUAAAUGUUUAUGAUUAAU
Molecule: long non-coding RNA, 777 nt
Organism: Hylaeus volcanicus
Lineage: Eukaryota; Metazoa; Arthropoda; Insecta; Hymenoptera; Colletidae
Exons: 3
Source: RefSeq, a predicted model, not a curated record